This 253-nucleotide ribosomal RNA is filed under the name uncultured bacterium. Its description in RNAcentral is "partial 16S ribosomal RNA". It matches the Rfam family "Bacterial small subunit ribosomal RNA", at positions 524 to 776 of the family's 1533-position model. The record is from RNAcentral.
UACGAAGGGUGCAAGCGUUACUCGGAAUUACUGGGCGUAAAGCGUGCGUAGGCGGCGGGGUAAGUCUGGUGUGAAAUCUCGGAGCUCAACUCCGAAAUUGCACUGGAUACUGCUCUGCUUGAGGGUUGGAGAGGAGAUCGGAAUUCACGGUGUAGCAGUGAAAUGCGUAGAUAUCGUGAGGAAGACCAGUGGCGAAGGCGACUCUUUGGUCUGUAACUGACGCUGAGGCGCGAAAGCGUGGGGAGCAAACAGG